CAAUAGCGUAUAUUAAAGUUGCUGCAGUUAAAAAGCUCGUAGUUGGAUUUCUGGUUGAAGCGACCGGUCGGGCGUUGAUUCGUCUGCACUGGAGUCGGUUUUGGCCAUCCUCUAGGAAAGUGCGUCUGGUAUUAAGUUAUCGGGCGUAUGAUCCUGGUCUUUUACUGUGAAAAAAUUAGAGUGUUUAAAGCAGGCCUUCGCCUUGAAUACAUUAGCAUGGAAUAAUAAGAUAGGACUUUGGUCUAUUUUGUUGGUUUGCAGACCGAAGUAAUGAUUAAUAGGGAUAGUUGGGGGUAUUUAUAUUCCGAUGUCAGAGGUGAAAUUCUUAGAUUUUCGGAAGAUAAACUUAUGCGAAAGCAUUUACCAAGGAUGUUUNCAUUA
Molecule: ribosomal RNA, 381 nt
Filed under: uncultured eukaryote
Lineage: Eukaryota
Description: partial 18S ribosomal RNA
Rfam family: Eukaryotic small subunit ribosomal RNA
Source: RNAcentral